GAUGAAGAACGCAGCGAAAUGCGAUAAGUAAUGUGAAUUGCAGAAUUCAGUGAACCAUCGAGUCUUUGAACGCACAUUGCGCCCCCUGGCAUUCCGGGGGGCAUGCCUGUCCGAGCGUCAUUGCUGCCCUUCAAGCCCGGCUUGUGUGUUGGGUCGUCGUCCCCCCCGGGGGACGGGCCCGAAAGGCAGCGGCGGCACCGCGUCCGGUCCUCGAGCGUAUGGGGCUUUGUCACCCGCUCGAUUAGGGCCGGCCGGGCGCCAGCCGGCGUCUCCAACCUUCUAUUUUACCAGGUUGACCUCGGAUCAGGUAGGGAUACCCGCUGAACUUAAGCAUAUCAAUAAGCGGAGGA
RNAcentral lists this unclassified non-coding RNA (350 nucleotides) under soil metagenome. RNAcentral describes it as "partial contains 5.8S ribosomal RNA, internal transcribed spacer 2, and large subunit ribosomal RNA". The stretch from base 1 to 120 matches the Rfam family "5.8S ribosomal RNA", at positions 35 to 154 of the family's 154-position model. The record is from RNAcentral.